RNAcentral lists this ribosomal RNA (253 nucleotides) under uncultured bacterium. RNAcentral's name for it is "partial 16S ribosomal RNA". It matches the Rfam family "Bacterial small subunit ribosomal RNA", at positions 524 to 776 of the family's 1533-position model. The record is from RNAcentral.
UACGUAGGCAGCAAGCGUUGUUCGGAGUUACUGGGCGUAAAGAGUGCGUAGGUGGUGCCCUAAGUCUGUUGUGAAAUCUCCCGGCUUAACUGGGAGGGUGCGGUGGAAACUGGGGUGCUUGAGUGUGGGAGAGGUAAGCGGAAUUCCUGGUGUAGCGGUGAAAUGCGUAGAUAUCAGGAGGAACACCGAUGGCGAAGGCAGCUCGCUGGGACGGUACUGACGCUGAGACGCGAAAGCGUGGGGAGCAAACAGG